UGCCAGCCGCCGCGGUAAUACGGAGGGUGCAAGCGUCAAUCGGAAGUACUGUGCGUAAAGCGCGCGUAGGUGGUCAAGUCAGUCAGAUGUGAAAGCCCUGGGCUCAACCUGGGAACUGCAUCUGAUACUGCUUGACUAGAGUAUGGUAGAGGGGUGUGGAAUUUCCUGUGUAGCGGUGAAAUGCGUAGAUAUAGGAAGGAACACCAGUGGCGAAGGCGACACCCUGGACCAAUACGGACACGGAGGUGCGAACGCGUGGGGCGCAAACAGGAGUAGAUC
Molecule: ribosomal RNA, 279 nt
Filed under: uncultured bacterium
Lineage: Bacteria
Description: partial 16S ribosomal RNA
Rfam family: Bacterial small subunit ribosomal RNA
Source: RNAcentral